CAGCAGCCACGGGAAUACGAAGGGUGCAAGCGUUACUCGGAAUUACUGGGCGUAAAGCAUGCGUAGGUGGUGGUUUAAGUCCGUUGUGAAAGCCCUGGGCUCAACCUGGGAAUUGCAGUGGAUACUGGGUCACUAGAGUGUGGUAGAGGAUAGUGGAACUUCCGGUGUAGCAGUGAAAUGCGUAGAGAUCGGAAGGAACAUCUGUGGCGAAGGCGACUAUCUGGGCCAACACUGACACUGAGGCACGAAAGCGUGGGGAGCAAACAGGAUUAGAUACCCCGUAGUCCCUGUCUCUUAUACA
This 301-nucleotide ribosomal RNA is filed under the name uncultured bacterium. RNAcentral's name for it is "partial 16S ribosomal RNA". It matches the Rfam family "Bacterial small subunit ribosomal RNA", at positions 509 to 808 of the family's 1533-position model. The record is from RNAcentral.